GAUGAUGGCUCAGUUUGAGAGGCAGAGGGCUAUGCUUCAAGCUCUGAUUGAGCAGGGAGGUAGGUUAGAGGCCUCUAUGGCCAAUGACAUGUUCGAUGAUAUUUUUGCUACAGACUUUGCACCUGCCUGUCCACAGAGCCGAGUUCCAGAGCAUAGCCAUUUUGACAUCCCUCUAGCGGAUGAUCUAGUUGGCCCUCCCUCUCCAACUGAG
RNAcentral lists this long non-coding RNA (211 nucleotides) under Ricinus communis (castor bean). Its description in RNAcentral is "long non-coding RNA (RCOM_LNC000560)". Lineage: Eukaryota; Viridiplantae; Streptophyta; Magnoliopsida; Malpighiales; Euphorbiaceae. The record is from RNAcentral.